This 400-nucleotide ribosomal RNA is filed under the name uncultured bacterium. RNAcentral describes it as "bacterial SSU rRNA". It matches the Rfam family "Bacterial small subunit ribosomal RNA", at positions 355 to 747 of the family's 1533-position model. The record is from RNAcentral.
UGGGGAAUAUUGGACAAUGGGCGAAAGCCUGAUCCAGCCAUGCCGCGUGUGUGAAGAAGGCCUUUUGGUUGUAAAGCACUUUAAGUAGGGAGGAAAAGCUAAUGGUUAAUACCCAUUAGCCCUGACGUUACCUACAGAAUAAGCACCGGCUAACUCUGUGCCAGCAGCCGCGGUAAUACAGAGGGUGCAAGCGUUAAUCGGAAUUACUGGGCGUAAAGCGCGCGUAGGUGGUUACUUAAGUCAGAUGUGAAAGCCCCGGGCUUAACCUGGGAACUGCAUCUGAUACUGGGUGACUAGAGUAGGUGAGAGGGGAGUAGAAUUCCAGGUGUAGCGGUGAAAUGCGUAGAGAUCUGGAGGAAUACCGAUGGCGAAGGCAGCUCCCUGGCAUCAUACUGACACU